This 170-nucleotide unclassified non-coding RNA is filed under the name uncultured Ascomycota. Its description in RNAcentral is "sequence contains ITS2". Lineage: Eukaryota; Fungi; Ascomycota. The record is from RNAcentral.
CCACCCUCAAGCGCAAGCUUGGUGUUGGGGAUCGCCCCUCCCUCGCGGAGGCUGGCGUCCCUCGAAUCCAUCGGCGGUGCCGGUGCGGCCCUGAGCGCAGCAGCGAUGCAGCUCGAGGGUCCGCUCGACACGUGCCGCGAACGGCAGCGGAGACGCGGCCACGCUUCAAA